UGCCAGCCGCCGCGGUAAUACGGAGGGUGCAGGCGUUGUUCGGAAUUAUUGGGCGUAAAGCGCGUGUAGGCGGUUCGUUAAGUCUGAUGUGAAAGCCCGGGGCUCAACCCCGGAAGUGCAUUGGAAACUGGCGAACUUGAGUACGGGAGAGGAAAGUGGAAUUCCGAGUGUAGGGGUGAAAUCCGUAGAUAUUAGGAAGAACACCAGUGGCGAAGGCGAGUCUCUGGCACGAUUCUGACGCUGAGGCGCGAAAGCUAGGGGAGCGAACGGGAUUAGAUA
RNAcentral lists this ribosomal RNA (279 nucleotides) under uncultured bacterium. Its description in RNAcentral is "partial 16S ribosomal RNA". It matches the Rfam family "Bacterial small subunit ribosomal RNA", at positions 506 to 784 of the family's 1533-position model. The record is from RNAcentral.